Aricia agestis (brown argus) is the source of this 155-nucleotide long non-coding RNA. RefSeq lists it as uncharacterized. NCBI's taxonomy places the organism in Eukaryota, Metazoa, Arthropoda, Insecta, Lepidoptera, Lycaenidae. The record is from RefSeq and is a predicted model, not a curated record. The transcript is spliced from 3 exons.
ACCUUCCUCAUUUUAGAAAGGCUGAAAGUUUACCUGUUUGCUACCUUUACAGAGGUAAGAACGACCAGCAACUAUGAAGUUUCGGUCGCGGUGAUUAGGAGGUAUCCAGUUCUGAAGGGCUACCUGAUCUUCGAGAAAAAGUUUCAUAAUUCAUA